This is a long non-coding RNA of Eublepharis macularius, 386 nucleotides long. RefSeq lists it as uncharacterized. The record is from RefSeq and is a predicted model, not a curated record. NCBI's taxonomy places the organism in Eukaryota, Metazoa, Chordata, Lepidosauria, Squamata, Eublepharidae. The transcript is spliced from 3 exons.
UUUGCCUCUUCCCAACCAUCUUUGACAGUUGGUCUCUCCUUCCCAGAGACAUAUUUAAAAGCCAAGCUCAGAGAGGAUAUGACUUACAGGAAGUGUGAGCAGUAAACAGGACUGAGAAAUGAAAUAUGCAGCGAAGUGGGCUCGGCUGAAGAGAGCACUAUGACCUUUUGUCUCUGAUCAGAGAACCUGGAUACGGAAGACUUGCUAAGUUUCAAGCCGAUUGAACAAAGGGGUUUGAUUUUACUGAAGUCGGGCUCUCUCUCAGCAGGCAAGCUUCUCUUUCUGAUUCCUGUGGGGGAGAGGGAAGGCAGUCAAGUGGCAGUCUAGCAAAACAGUACCAACAGGCCAUCAUCAUUAAAAAAGAAGCAAAACCUGCAUUCAUUUAA